UGCAGAGUGUGCUCAGAAGCUUGUGCACGUUGUUCACUGGAGGCCCCCAAGGCCUUUAUCCAGAGCCCUUUAACUUAUUCUACACACAAUUCCAACUAACUUAGUGCUCCAGUUUUCACGGCCAUUGCACACUCUAGAAAAGGGUGAGGAAGUUCUGCUAGAGCAAGGCACACUAUUCCCAGCAAGAAAUGACAAUGUCCAUCUAGCAGCAAGGAAGGAAAGGGAGGAACCACAAAAAUAAGACAAACUCAGCAGUCUUUGAGAAAAGUGGAAAUCUCUCUGGGGAAACAAAACAGCCUUAUUCAGCCACAGUAGACCUUGAGGGCAGUGACCAAUUAUUGUAAAUCACAAUAAUUUAUGUCCUGAACUCAUCAAUGAAUUAUGAAGAAAAAAAUCUAAGUAAGAAUAUGCUGGCAUUUCAAUUACCUGGAAAAUGUACUUCUGUGAAAUACAUUCUUCCCCACAAGGACUGGUGAGUGAGGCUGAUGGCUCCCUGUGUGCAGGCUCCCCUCACUUAACUUAGGCUCCCUGCAACCCUCCUACUGCAAGAAGAAAGAUGAGAAGAAGCACUAUAGUAACCCCUCUUUCUUUAUUCCUUUUUGUCUAAUUAUGGAGGAGAAGAGCAAGGUGGUGGUGGAAGUUUCAGAACAGAGCAGCUCUGAGAUCCACUGUCAAAGCUGUGAAUGCAGGAGGGGUCUACACACAGGGCAAUGUGUGCAGGGGGUUGAGGCAAGGGAGGGUUUAUCUCCCGAUGCCAAGUCUGAUGGUGCUUUUAGGUUGUCAAAGGCUGUGCUUUUGGCUGCCAUGGCUCUCUGGCAGUUUUCUCGGAAACACUAAUUGAUUGUGCCUCAUCCUUCAGGAAAUCUAGCAUGGAAUGGCGUUUCCUGUAUUCAUGUCAGAAGGGCUGCCUCAGCCCCCAAUUCCAGGAUGUGGUUACCCUGGAAAUAAGCCCGGGACUGUGCCUGAGAGUUUCCCCACUUUUGCCUCUCAGCACAGCUCCAUGAGCUGGAGUGUCUCCUGAGGCCCUGAGCUGAAACUCCUGCCUUCUUGGAGCAAAUCAGUCACAUGAACACACCCCUUCCCCGCCCUCAAUACCUCGGUUCUGGGAGGCAGCAAUCUGGACUCUACACUGUGCAUUGCCAUAUGCGCCCAAAGAGGUCCUGAGCACGUCAUUUCCCCAUAGGUGAUGGGUCAUCAGAUCUGUACACUUCCUCCAGAACAGGCCCACAGUGAGGAAUGAAGAAUGUUCAGCUUUCUGGCAAGAGGUGCCUAUGGAAGUAGUGGUGAGACAUCAGGCACACUGGCUGGACACAUCUCUGGACCCAGCAUCAGUCUUGGACAUUCUUGGUGGGAGCCCCACAAAGAUCCCAGUCUGAGAGGCACCCACUGAAGCCAUGUAUGACUUGCCUAAUCUUGAAGUAGAGCUCUGGAGUGCUGAGAGAACUAAUGGGAAUUUCUCUGCUAGAGGCUUCCUAAAGAAGCAGCACUGAAGAGAGAAAAUGAGUGCAAACAUAUGUUUUGAUAAAGAUGGUGGAUGCUGUGGAGGAAAGGGGAACAACACAAACUGCUGCAUGAACCAGAAGAAAGACCACACAGUCACCCUCUCGCCAUCUUUAUUCAACCCAGAGGAGUUCAUGCCCCUGGAUCCCACCCAGGAGCCCAUCUUCCCCCCAGAGUUGCUGGUAGGUGAUGCCCCAGGGAGAGGCCCAAUCAAGUCUCUGUGCCAUGACCCUUUUUAUUUCAGACCCCUGGGAUCUCUGUGUCCUGCUUGUCCUUUAGUUUUCAGCCUGCAUUUCCCUUCUUUCCUCUGACACCCAGAGGUCAAAUCUCUCUGCCAUACACUCCCACGGGGACCCACACUUCUCUCCUUCUCCCACAUGUGACUCUGAGGACAGGGAGUCAAGCUCUCUGGCACAUCAGGUACAGGAACAGUUGCUUCAGAAGUAUCUGCUAACUUCCUGGCUAAAUCUAAUGUAUAAGCCCCUCAAACAACCCAGUAUACUCUCUGUAAGCAGUCCAUCUAUUUAAAAAAAUAAACAAACAGGAGAAGAAUGCUGUAUCCAAAGGAUACGAUCCAUGGCUUGCAGCUCUGUCUUAAGGACGCCUCUCACACCUACUUUCUCACCUUGAUGAUUCUGCCCCUUCACCCCAACAUUCAUGGUGAAGAAGAAAUCCAGCCAUUCUCAGAGUUUUGUAAAUGCAGAUUUCUCAGGGGGUGUUAAGCACAUGAAGACUGCCUUAUGAGUUCAA
Molecule: long non-coding RNA, 2250 nt
Organism: Equus quagga
Lineage: Eukaryota; Metazoa; Chordata; Mammalia; Perissodactyla; Equidae
Exons: 3
Source: RefSeq, a predicted model, not a curated record